Molecule: ribosomal RNA, 452 nt
Filed under: Listeria monocytogenes
Lineage: Bacteria; Bacillati; Bacillota; Bacilli; Caryophanales; Listeriaceae
Description: partial 23S ribosomal RNA
Rfam family: Bacterial large subunit ribosomal RNA
Source: RNAcentral
UGGACAACAGGUAGAGAUUCCUGUACCAGUGCUAAUUGUUUAACCGAUGGGGUGACACAGAAGGAUAGGGAAUCGCACGAAUGGAAAUGUGCGUCCAAGCAGUGAGUGUGAGAAGUAGGCAAAUCCGCUUCUCGCGAAGCAUGAGCUGUGAUGGGGAAGGAAAUUAAGUACGGAAGUUCCUGAUUUCACGCUGUCAAGAAAAGCCUCUAGGAAGAGUAGUACUGCCCGUACCGCAAACCGACACAGGUAGAUGAGGAGAGAAUCCUAAGGUGAGCGAGAGAACUCUCGUUAAGGAACUCGGCAAAAUGACCCCGUAACUUCGGGAGAAGGGGUGCUCUAUUAGGGUGCAAGCCCGAGAGAGCCGCAGUGAAUAGGCCCAGGCGACUGUUUAGCAAAAACACAGGUCUCUGCAAAACCGUAAGGUGACGUAUAGGGGCUGACGCCUGCCCGGU